GUGGGGAAUAUUGGACAAUGGGCGAAAGCCUGAUCCAGCCAUGCCGCGUGUGUGAAGAAGGUCUUCGGAUUGUAAAGCACUUUAAGUUGGGAGGAAGGGCAGUAAGUUAAUACCUUGCUGUUUUGACGUUACCGACAGAAUAAGCACCGACUAACUUCGUGCCAGCAGCCGCGGUAAUACGAAGGGUGCAAGCGUUAAUCGGAAUUACUGGGCGUAAAGCGCGCGUAGGUGGUUUUGUAAGUUGGAGGUGAAAUCCCCGGGCUCAACCUGGGAACUGCCUCCAAAACUGCAUGACUAGAGUACGGUAGAGGGUAGUGGAAUUUCCUGUGUAGCGGUGAAAUGCGUAGAUAUAGGAAGGAACACCAGUGGCGAAGGCGACUACCUGGACUGAUACUGACACUGAGGUGCGAAAGCGUGGGGAGCAAACAGGAUUAGAUACCCUUGUAGUCC
RNAcentral lists this ribosomal RNA (450 nucleotides) under uncultured bacterium. RNAcentral describes it as "partial 16S ribosomal RNA". It matches the Rfam family "Bacterial small subunit ribosomal RNA", at positions 354 to 796 of the family's 1533-position model. The record is from RNAcentral.